UUAGAAAUUGCUUCAUCAACAACUGUGUUGGUUUGGUUUGGAAUGGAGCCUCCAAUUUAUGCUACCUGAAGAUAAAAACAGAAGAAGAAACUGGAACCAGAAUGAAUUCAAACAGCAACAGCUAUUUCUGGAAGGCUGUAUGCCAGUAAAAGUCAUCAAACACGCCACCUUCGCAGAAUAAAACUAGCCUGCCAAGCGAUGCUGUGGCCUAUAAAUGCCAUUUCUUCAAAGUCAGGAGUAAUUCAUUACUCAUAUGUACAGGUGCUCACAGAGUAUUCCCAACCAUUAGUUUAUAAUAUUAUAACAUUGAUGAAUAACGUACUCAAAGAUGACUCUUAAUUAUAUUAAGCGCAGUAAUAUAAAUGAAGCAUGUGUAUUUGACAUUCACAUUAUGCAAAAGGCACAGGCUACCUAGAAUUCACACUUAAAAUCACUCAGGAGGACAAAUGUAUUACUGGGGGAACUGCACAACCUUUUACUUGCCUUACUGCUUCUAGUAUUUGUAAUAUGAGCUGGUAUCGUACUAACAAAACGAAAAUCAGAUGAAGAAGAAACUAGCCAAGUUAUUGUUUUUUUUCUGCUGAACAAAUAACUGUUACCAGACCUUUCUUCCUUUACCUGCAUGAGUUCAAGUUUUCUGUAGAGAAGAUAGGAACACAGUAUUACUGAUCCUAAUAUUACUUCUGUCACUGCCAUCAAAUUUUAGAGUUCAGUUCUUAUUGUCCAAUACAAUAAGAAUUAAAACGACAUUUGUUGUAAUGAACAAUAUUAGCUGAGUUUCUACUCUAUAUCAGCAUAUUCCCCAAUGAAAUAGUUAUCAACGAUUUCUCAUAUUCUUCAGUAUAUACAGUUAUAACACCAUCUUGGCAGAUUUUCAGACUGAUAAGUAUAAGCUAAAUUUAUUAUUUUCUGCUACUUGCCCCUAUUUUGGAACAAAUAAUCAUUCUUAGAUAUUUUUCAUUUCAUUUGAAGUUGAAAGAAAAAAUUAGACAAUAUCUUGAUAAUCGACAGGUUUAUGUAAGACACUGACUGUCUUUGCGUUAAGAGAGUUGGAAUGUCAAACCAUAAAUAAGACAAAAACGCUUACUGGAACGGAGAAGAUCUAAGGAGCUUCACUCAGUCUCGAUCCAGAGGCAAUUUUAUCGUUGAGUUUAAAUACUAAAUUUUGAGCUUUGGCUCUUGAGCUGAACACUCACAAUGUGGGUAUGCAUCUUCUUCCCCAAAGGGCAGGGUUCAAUACGACUUCUGAAGCUGCUGCUUCAAUUCUUAUGUCAGAGAAUUCCGACUCUGUUUGUAAACUCAAGUUGUUUGUUUCGAUCAUUUUCUUAACAAGCACUUAGAAACAGCCCAUUUAUGCAAGUGAAUAUAGGAUUUUGAAUGAUAGAACAUUAGUUAACUAAUGGUCACAUAAAUACUUACUUACUAUAAACGUAUAGAUUGUACUUAUGUGAAGAGAAUGAGCCUCCUCGAUAAGUGGACGAGAUAAUAUAAAGAAAGGUAAUAAACACCGACAUCCUUGCAUAGAAAAGCUUUCUCGAAUCACCUCGAUUCAGAAGCAAAUCCAUGCACAGUAGAGCAGGCAUUGAUCCAUAAUGAUUAAAACUAUUAAAUUUAUCAAUUUGUCUAUUGUUAACCAUACUUCCACUAAACAUGAGCAUAAACAUUUAUUUCCAAUUAAAAAAAUACAAAGCAAAGCAAACGAUUGUAAGUAGUCUGCAAACACUUUAAAAUACAGUAAGGAAUGCAUUUAAUUUCCAUCGGUCAGAGAGUUCAAGAUUUUUAAUCAGACCAAUAGAAAACAUCGAAAACUCUAAAACAUCUACCCAAAAUAUUUUGAGUUUGUUCCAAAAUAGGUAUGAACACGUGGCCGCUCUCUCUCUCUCUCUCUCUCUCUCUCUCUCUCUCUCUCUCUCUCUCUCUCUCUCUCUCU
This is a long non-coding RNA of Macrobrachium nipponense, 1930 nucleotides long. RefSeq lists it as uncharacterized. The record is from RefSeq and is a predicted model, not a curated record. NCBI's taxonomy places the organism in Eukaryota, Metazoa, Arthropoda, Malacostraca, Decapoda, Palaemonidae. The transcript is spliced from 2 exons.